GGCCUGAUAGCCAAGCGGUAAGGCGAGAGUCUGCAAAACUCUUAUGCGUGGGUUCAAUUCCCACUCAGGCCU
This 72-nucleotide transfer RNA is filed under the name Patescibacteria group bacterium. RNAcentral describes it as "tRNA-Cys". It matches the Rfam family "tRNA". From Rfam's summary of the family: Transfer RNA (tRNA) molecules are approximately 80 nucleotides in length. Their secondary structure includes four short double-helical elements and three loops (D, anti-codon, and T loops). RNAcentral also lists the same sequence under 1 other name. The record is from RNAcentral.